CCCGCCGGCGACCGGCGCACGGGUGAGUAACACGUAUGAAACCUGCCCGUAGCAGGGGGAUAAGCGGAAGAAAUUCCGUCUAAUACCGCGUAACAACCCAUGGAGGCAUCUCUGUGGGUUUAAAGGAAGCGAUUCCGGCUACGGAUGGUCAUGCGUCGCAUUAGCUUGUUGGCGGGGUAACGGCCCACCAAGGCGACGAUGCGUAGGGGUUCUGAGAGGAACGGUCCCCACACUGGUACUGAGACACGGACCAGACUCCUACGGAAGGCAGCAG
This 274-nucleotide ribosomal RNA is filed under the name uncultured bacterium. Its description in RNAcentral is "partial 16S ribosomal RNA". It matches the Rfam family "Bacterial small subunit ribosomal RNA", at positions 84 to 354 of the family's 1533-position model. The record is from RNAcentral.